UGGUAAACUCCAUCUAAGGCUAAAUAUAACCACGAGUCCGAUAGUAAACAAGUACCGUGAGGAAAAGUUGAAAAGAACUUUGAAGAGAGAGUUCAAUAGUACGUGAAACCGCUCAGGGGUAAACGGAGAAGAUCUGAAUAUCUCGAAAGAAGAGAUUCAAGUCUUAGCAUUUUGUUUACUUUUAAGUACCUUUGAGAUGGUAAUUCAGUAUUAUCCAGUAAAUACUGUGGUAAGAAGUUUUGCCGCUCGUACUUUAUUUUAAGUAAGCUGUAAUGCUGGACCGCACUUCUCUUUUAGUAAGGACGUUGCAACCUGUCAGAUAAUACUCUAAGUAUGAUUAAAGUGUCUCUGUAAAUGUAAUUUAAAACUUGUUUUAAUAUUAUAUCUUGCAGUAGCUUUUAUCAAUUUUACUACUGGGUGUUUAUAUUCUGACAGUAUCAACUAUGGUGUAGAGCCACUAAAAAUUAAGUAAGCAUCCGUUUUACAAGUUUGGUAAUUAUAAGUUAACGUCUAACUUUUGUUAGUCUAACUUUAUUACCUACUGUUUGUAAAAUGUAACUUGCUUUUAGUGCUCAUCACACCGGUUGGCAGCGAUUCAGGUUCAGAUUCUUAUCCG
This 616-nucleotide ribosomal RNA is filed under the name Neolibavius sp. MF-2016. Its description in RNAcentral is "eukaryotic LSU rRNA". It matches the Rfam family "Eukaryotic large subunit ribosomal RNA", at positions 297 to 646 of the family's 3401-position model. The record is from RNAcentral. Lineage: Eukaryota; Metazoa; Arthropoda; Insecta; Hemiptera; Reduviidae.